CCAGAGUGAGUUUCUCAAGAGAGUUUCUCAACAUCAGUGCUAUUGACAUUUUGGGUGGGUAAUUCUUUUAUGUGAAUUAUAGGAUGUUUUGCAGCAUCCCUGGCCUCUAUGAAUUUAAUUCCAUUAGCAGCCCUCAUUCUCAGCUGUAACAACCAAAUACGUCUUCAGACCUGGCCAAAUGUAUGCUGGGAAGGGAUGUAAAACUGCCCCCAGCUGAGAACAAUACCCUAAGAGAAGAAAUGAGAUAGAGGACAAGAAAAGUCUGAAUGCCAGAAAGAACUGUUUCUGGAUGCGUGGAGGAAGCUAAUGUCAGCACUCUUUCUGGCUGGUAUGAACACUGCAAGAAACACUCAGAGAUAGACAACCUUAUUAUUUGAAUAUGCAGUUUGAGAAAACCGAGGCUCAGUUGCUUGCCGGAAAUCACAUAGCAGGUUGUAAGAUUCUUGAUAGCAGGAACCUUGAAUUACCACCUGCGAUCCCAUUUGCCUGGCAGAACCUGGACAAGAAUCCUCUUAUUGGGACUCUUUGGAAUAUACCUCACCUUCCCUCCACGUCCAGGAGAGAUGAUCAUGUUUUGAUUCUAUUCUUGCCUCACUUUCAUCAUCUUUAAAAUGGGAAUAAAAAUAUGACUUUAGGGACA
RNAcentral lists this long non-coding RNA (640 nucleotides) under Sus scrofa (pig). RNAcentral's name for it is "lncRNA (ENSSSCG00015041243.1)". Lineage: Eukaryota; Metazoa; Chordata; Mammalia; Artiodactyla; Suidae. The record is from RNAcentral.